UACCAAGACUAUGACGCUUAACUGGUUUGAGAGGAUGAUCAGUCACACUGGAACUGAGACACGGUCCAGACUCCUACGGGAGGCAGCAGUGGGGAAUAUUGCACAAUGGACGAAAGUCUGAUGCAGCAACGCCGCGUGGAGGAUGACACAUUUCGGUGCGUAAACUCCUUUUAUAUGAGAAGAUAAUGACGGUAUCAUAUGAAUAAGCACCGGCUAACUCCGUGCCAGCAGCCGCGGUAAUACGGGGGGUGCAAGCGUUACUCGGAAUCACUGGGCGUAAAGAGCAUGUAGGCGGAUUGAUAAGUUUGAAGUGAAAUCCUAUAGCUUAACUAUAGAACUGCUUUGAAAACUGUUAAUCUAGAAUGUGGGAGAGGUAGAUGGAAUUUCUGGUGUAGGGGUAAAAUCCGUAGAGAUCAGAAGGAAUACCGAUUGCGAAGGCGAUCUACUGGAACACUAUUGACGCUGAGAUGCGAAAGCGUGGGGAGCAAACGGGAUUAGAUACCCCGGUAGUCCACGCCCUAAACGAUGCACACUAGUUGUUGUGAGGCUAGACCUUGCAGUAAUGCAGUUAACACA
This 576-nucleotide ribosomal RNA is filed under the name uncultured bacterium. RNAcentral describes it as "bacterial SSU rRNA". It matches the Rfam family "Bacterial small subunit ribosomal RNA", at positions 266 to 859 of the family's 1533-position model. The record is from RNAcentral.